This 1663-nucleotide small RNA is filed under the name Arabidopsis thaliana (thale cress). RNAcentral's name for it is "ATSL269800". Lineage: Eukaryota; Viridiplantae; Streptophyta; Magnoliopsida; Brassicales; Brassicaceae. The record is from RNAcentral.
UAAUGAAUUUUUGUUAGAAGGUACAAAGACAAAGACUCGUACAGACUUCGACUACACUAUCAAAGCUUUGAGAAUUAAGAAGAAGCUUGGUUAGUGUUUUGGAUUUGAAUAUGACUUGAUGUCAUGUGUAUGACUCAAUAUAAAAACUAGAACCGCAACAGAGGUUAAAAGCAUAAGUAUUGUAUCAUUGUUAGAAGAUACAAUGACGAAGACUCAUAUGGACUUCUGCUACACCAUCAAAGCUUUGAGAAGCAAGAAGAAGUUUGGUUAGUGUUUUGGAGUCGAAUAUGACUUUAUGUCAUGUGUAUGAGUGAGUAUAAAAACUAGAACCGCAACGGAUCUUAAAAGCCUAAAUAUUGUAUCCUUGUUAGAAGAUACAUAGACAAAGACUCAUACGAAAUUCGGCUAAACCAUCAAAGCUUUUAGAAGCAAGAAGAAGCUUGGUUAGUGUUUUGGAGUGAAAUAUAACUAGAUGUCAUGUGUAUGAGUGAGUAUACCAACUAGAACCACAAUUGGAAUAUUAAAAGCCUAAGUAUUGUAUCCUUGUUAGAAGAUACAAAGACAAACACUCAUACGGACUUUGGUUACACCAUCAAAGUUUUGAGAAGCAAGAAGACGCUUGGUUAGUGUUUUGGAGUCAAGUAUGACUUGAUGUGAUGUGUAUGAUUGAGUAUAAGAAAUUAAACCGCAAAUGGAUCUUAAAAGCUUAAGUAAUGUUUCCUUGUUAGAAGAUACAAAGGCAAAGCCUCAUACAGACUUUAGCUAUACCAUCAAAGCCUUGAGAAGCAAGAAGAAGCUUGGUUAGUGUUUUGGAGUCAAAUAUUACUAGAUGUCAUGUGUAUGAGUGAGUAUGACAACUAGAACCAUAACCGGAUCUUAAAAACCUAAGUAUUGAAUCUUUGUUAGAAGAUACAAAGACAAAGACUCAUACGGACUUCGACUACACUAUCAAAGCUUUGAGAAGCAAGAAGAAGCUUGGUUAGUGUUUUGGAUUCGAAUAUGACUUGAUGUCUUGUGUAUGACUCAGUAUAAACACUAGAACCGCAACGGAUCUUAAAAGCAUAAGUAUUGUAUCAUUGUUAGAAGAUACAAUGACGAAGACUCAUACGGACUUCGACUACACCAUCAAAGCUUUGAGAAGCAAGAAGCAGUUGGUUAGUGUUUUGGAGUCGAAUAUGACUUGAUGUCAUGUGUAUGAGUGAGUAUAAAAACUAGAACCGCAACGGAUCUUAAAAGCCUAAAUAUUGUAUCCUUGUUAGAAGAUACAUAGACAAAGUCUCAUACGGAAUUCGGCUAAACCAUCAAAGCUUUUACAAGCAAGAAGAAGCUUGGUUAGUGUUUUAGAGUGAAAUCUAACUAGAUGUCAUGUGUAUGAGUGAGUAUACCAACUAGAACCACAAUUGGAAUUUUAAAAGCCUAAGUAUUAUAUCCUUGUUAGACGAUACAAAGACAAACACUCAUACGGACUUUGGCUACACCAUCAAAGCUUUUAGAAGCAAGAAGAAGCUUGGUUAGUGUUUUGGAGUCGAAUAUGACUUGAUGUGAUGUGUAUGAUUGAGUAUAAGAAAUUAAACCGCAACCGGAUCUUAAAAGCCUAAGUAUUGUUUUCUUGUUAGAAGAAACAAAGGCAAAGCCUCAUACAGACUUUAGCUAUACCAUCAAU